UGGGGAAUAUUGGACAAUGGGCGCAAGCCUGAUCCAGCAAUGCCGCGUGUGUGAAGAAGGCCUUCGGGUUGUAAAGCACUUUUAUCAGGAGCGAAACGCUGUCGGCUAAUACCCGGCGGAACUGACGGUACCUGAGGAAUAAGCACCGGCUAACUUCGUGCCAGCAGCCGCGGUAAUACGAAGGGUGCAAGCGUUAAUCGGAAUUACUGGGCGUAAAGCGUGCGUAGGCGGUUUCUUAAGUCUGCUGUGAAAUCCCCGGGCUCAACCUGGGAAUGGCAGUGGAUACUGGGAGGCUAGAGUGUGUCAGAGGGUGGUGGAAUUCCCGGUGUAGCGGUGAAAUGCGUAGAGAUCGGGAGGAACAUCAGUGGCGAAGGCGGCCACCUGGGGACAACACUGACGCUGAGGCACGAAAGCGUGGGGAGCAAACAGGAUUAGGAUACCCUGGUAGUCCACGCCCUAAAACGAUGCGAACUGGAUGUUGGUCUCAACUCGGAGAUCAGUGUUGAAGCUAACGCGUUAAG
This 521-nucleotide ribosomal RNA is filed under the name uncultured bacterium. RNAcentral's name for it is "partial 16S ribosomal RNA". It matches the Rfam family "Bacterial small subunit ribosomal RNA", at positions 355 to 864 of the family's 1533-position model. The record is from RNAcentral.